ACAUGCAAGUCGAACGAAGUAGCAAUACUUAGUGGCAGACGGGUGAGUAACAUGUAGGUAUCUACCCUUUGGCCUGGAAUAACACGAGGAAACUUGUGCUAAUACCGGAUAAGUCUUUACGGAGAAAGCUUUAUGCACCAUUGGAUGAGCCUGCACUUGAUUAGUUUGUUGGUGGGGUAAUGGCCUACCAAGACUGUGAUCAAUAGCUGAUUUGAGAGGAUGAUCAGCCACAUUGGGACUGAGACACGGCCCAAACUCCUACGGGAGGCAGCAGUGGGGAAUCUUGCACAAUGGAGGAAACUCUGAUGCAGCGAUGCCGCGUGAGUGAAGAAGGCCCUUGGGUUGUAAAGCUCUUUCGUCGGGGAAGAAAAUGACUGUACCCGAAUAAGAAGGUCCGGCUAACUUCGUGCCAGCAGCCGCGGUAAUACGAAGGGACCUAGCGUAGUUCGGAAUUACUGGGCUUAAAGAGUUCGUAGGUGGUUGAAAAAGUUAGUGGUGAAAUCCCAGAGCUUAACUCUGGAACUGCCAUUAAAACUUUUCAGCUAGAGUAUGAUAGAGGAAAGCAGAAUUUCUAGUGUAGAGGUGAAAUUCGUAGAUAUUAGAAAGAAUACCAAUUGCGAAGGCAGCUUUCUGGAUCAUUACUGACACUGAGGAACGAAAGCAUGGGUAGCGAAGAGGAUUAGAUACCCUCGUAGUCCAUGCCGUAAACGAUGUGUGUUAGACGUUGGAAAUUUAUUUUCAGUGUCGCAGCGAAAGCGAUAAACACACCGCCUGGGGAGUACG
Molecule: ribosomal RNA, 783 nt
Filed under: uncultured Pelagibacteraceae bacterium
Lineage: Bacteria; Pseudomonadati; Pseudomonadota; Alphaproteobacteria; Candidatus Pelagibacterales; Candidatus Pelagibacteraceae
Description: bacterial SSU rRNA
Rfam family: Bacterial small subunit ribosomal RNA
Source: RNAcentral